Puntigrus tetrazona (Sumatra barb) is the source of this 3677-nucleotide long non-coding RNA. RefSeq lists it as uncharacterized. NCBI's taxonomy places the organism in Eukaryota, Metazoa, Chordata, Actinopteri, Cypriniformes, Cyprinidae. The record is from RefSeq and is a predicted model, not a curated record. The transcript has 7 exons.
GAUGACGGUGAUGGGAUUGGGUCGGAAACCCUCUCCUCCGGGACACAGCGUCUUGUACUCAGCUGUGAGGAGACACAGGGAUCAUCAGUACAGCUUUCUGCCCGUGAUUCCUGGCCCCUGAGAAAGGUGUAGUUCGUACUGGAGUUGAUGGGCGGGCAGAGUUCGCAGGGGUUGCCCCAGGCUCCGCCCAGCGAGCAGCAGCAGGACGCGCGGGUCACGCCCACCCCGAUCUCAGCGCUGCAGGAGAUGCCCCCGUCGCCGCGGUCCAGCGUGUCCAGGAAGCAGUUCCCCACCCGCGUGUCUGACAGAGAACGGAGGGAAGCCGCGUUACGAUCACAGUGAAGGCCGCGAGCGAAUCAGAGCGAAAGGGCCGGGGCCCUUACCCACACAGCCCACCCCCGACGGGUUCAGCUCGAAGUCCGGCGGGCAGUUGCACAGUUUCCUCCGCUGCGGUCCAGCUCGUAGCCGUAGUCGCAGACGCAGCGAAACAUUCCCGGCAGGUUCUGACACGAUCCGAACACGCAGAUGUUCUGGAAGUUACACUCGUCGAUGUCUGGACGACACACACACAGCGGAUCGAAUGGUAUUGGUGGAGUCCAGUUUGCUACCGUGGGAACACUCGCAAUUGAAGGAACCAGCUAUGUUGCGGCACACGCCAUUGAUGCAGGGGUUGGAGUCGCAUUCGUUGAUGUCUGAACAAAAGAACGAAAGGCACCGGUGCGGAUGUUGGGGAUGAAGCCUCUUCGGCAAGGGUGGGGUUGGGCAGGGCACAUCUCGCAUGGGUGACCCCACGCUCGGCCGAUGGUGGCACAACACAACGUCUUGGUGCACACGAUGCCGCUCAGCUGACCUUGGCACAUCUGGUUGUUGACUUGUGUGAAGCAUGGCCCGGUCCGAUAGUCUGAUUAUGGGAGGAACGAAGAGUAUAAGAGAGGUAUGUGGUGAUGUCUGGACAUUGUGAAAAGAAAGAUUCACUUACGCUGUCCACAGUGAGUUCCAGUGUAGCCCUUCUGACAAGAGCAGGCAUCUUCAUUACAGACCCCUCCAUUCAUGCAUCUGACGCUGCAGGACUGGACUGUACGGACACAGAGAGAGAAGCCAUGCAGGUUUGGAGCGACACAAGGGCGAGUAAAUGAGGAAAUCUGUGGUCAUCAGUUGAAAGAAUCCACCAUUAAAUCUCCCAUAAAGUCGUUGGGUUUCAUUCUGCUCAUUUCCCCAAACAUCAGAGGAGCACUAAACUCAACACUAUUUUGGGAAGCAGCUCUUCCGUCACUUUAAUUUUUGGUGCUUUGUUCUUUUAAACACCUUGUUCUUUUUUUAUUCCUAUAUAUUUCAGUAACGCUAACCUCACCUUCCUCCGAGGCAGCUGUAGACCUCCAGUGAUGUAGCGAGGUAAGAAUGCGCAACUUCAAAGGCAGAAGCGAGGACGAACGCAAGCUGUUUUCAACCUGCAAAACUGUGUCAUCCCGUAAAACAGGGAAAAUAAAAAUGUGCGCCAAUGCCAAACAACAUCACGUGCCUUUGAGAAACUCAAAGGAAUUACUCACUUGAGGAAUUACACACUCCUGCAUUGAUAGUGUGUGGUAAAUCUGAUGUUUAUUGAUCGCUUUAAAUUACCAAGAAAAGGUGAGUAAGAGAUUGAAAAGAUUGAGUUGCAGAACCACUGGGACAUGUAAAAAGUUCCCAGAAUGCAACUCUGCAGAGCUAGAAAUGUCGAAUAAAGGCAGAGGGGAAUUGGCAAGGAGAAGGAAUUCCAAUGGAGCUGCAUGGAGCGUCUGCUUGUGAACUGCACCCCGUGCUAAUGGAUUUCAGAUGUACCGUGUCUUGCACUCUCAAGCGCGCAUAAAACAUUCUGUCGUAUGGGAAUCUAAGAAACGGCAGGAAUUCGUAGAGGAACAUUCGUAGCGAAACCUAAAGAUGUGUAUAUUCUGUGUAUGAGAAACCUAUGACCAAUUUUGGGCUGUCCUGUUAUGACUUCAGAGGACUUACAAUAAUCAUACAAUAAUGUAUGUCGUAUGUAAAUCAUAGAAUAAUGUUUUGCUGUGUUUUUGUCCUUUUGCAACUUGACAACCAUUCUCUUGGCUUUUGUUCUUUUGGAAAAGAUCAGCUCGGAAAUUUACGAAAUAUUUCCGUUUGAAGAUGUAAAUGUUGAUUUUAAGCAUUUGUGGUUGUACUGUUCCUUUAAAUAUACACUAACACCCAUUUAAAUUUAGAUGAUCAAAUGUGAUGUAAUGAUGCCUUAGAAGCCCAUCUGAGCUGAUGCUCAAGACGCACCUUGCAGAAACCAUCGACAGCUGCCUUUUGUUUUGGAAACAUCCAUGGAAGGUCACGAGGUUGCUAAAUAUCCGGUCUUGGUUUGAAAUGCCCUGCACCAGCAGUUUUUCACAGUCUAUUCCCUGUCUAAACAGAUCUCCACCCCAGAGAAAACGCAUCCAUUCUCACCCCACGCCCUCGGAAAACCGCAGAUUCAUUCAGAUAAACGCCAUUCAUGCAGAGAAUGAAAAACCACUUUGACUCCUCACUUAAUUUGGUCAUUAAUCUUUUGCAGAUUGGAUGCGCACUUCCAGGUUUGAAUGAAAUGCUCACAUCUGUGGUUAAUUACGAAAAGUGGGGAACGCUGAUCUCCGUGGCUUCGUCUUGAUAACGCAAAUCCAUGCCCUAGCGCGAGUGAACAGGGGGCCUUGCUAAAACAACGAUUUGCGCUCCAGGGAGCCAACUUGUCUUCGUUUUUGGUUUAACUCGACUGUAAACUUGUCAUGUAAGUUUGUUCCAGCGAUAAUUCAUAAACGUCUGCAAUGUUUUUGCAGCGUUUCUGCCUUGAAACACCUGGUUCCUUUUGUGAAAUGGUUUUGUCAGCAUGUGGUAGAAGCACCUUCAGUGUGCAGUCCCCAAAACCUGGGCAAAAUUGUGUGUAAAAGUGGAUAUCAGGUUUCCUUCAAGGUUUUUGGAGGGGCCAUUCUUGGUUUUCAGUUGUGUAACAGAAGAACCCUGAUAUGUUUUGACUGUAGUUUACCACAGACGGUGACUUUUACCAUGCUCUGCGUCCUGCUGAGAAUCUAAUCCUCACCCAUUUCCUCUCUUCAGUCCAGAGUGAUUGCAUAUCUUGUAUGUCCAUUAACUCUUUGUUGGGAAGCUUUUGUCAAAUGCUUCAGAAUUUGUAAGCACAACUGUGAGUUCACACCUUGUAUUUAAUGAUAUUAGUGGAACAUCAACAAUGUCUACCUCACACUUGCUUGCGAUAUCAAUUCAUUUCUCUUUCUUUUCUUAGAAAGACUGGGCCAGGGAGUCAUUCAGCUCAGCAAUAAUAAACCUGGAUAUGCUCCAGAUCUCAGAUUAUUUGCACAGCGGCUCCCCGUCUCAGUCACUCCAGAACUGGUUGUUUACAUUGAAAAUGACCUAGAAAAUAUGGCCUAGCCAGUGGCCACAAGAUCCCCCUUUGGCUGAGGUGAAAAUGGCGUCACAACUCAUGCAAAGAGCCGUUAUAAGCAAACAUAAAGACUUUCUUUUCCAACACACAAGGCUAAAGCUGUGAGAUAUUGCAAACUAAGUGGGUUAUAUAAUGUCACUGGAGGAAUUUCUUUAAUGGGAGUAGCGUAGUUGGGCUCUGAAAGUAUGCACCUCCUAUAAGAGAGAGUAUGUUUUGCCUAGAUGCUAGUGAGAUAAAAUUUAGACACUUU